RNA transcript from Dicentrarchus labrax (European seabass), 4674 nucleotides. It is a transcript of the gene named nuclear factor 7, brain-like, with no coding region annotated. The transcript has 3 exons. Lineage: Eukaryota; Metazoa; Chordata; Actinopteri; Moronidae. The record is from RefSeq and is a predicted model, not a curated record.
CUCAGAGCAGUGUGACGACAAAGCUCCGCCGCUUAAUGACAGCACCUGAGACCAAACAGGAAACAGAUUGUUCCUGUUCAGUUCUCACUGAGGAGAGACACACAGACGGAGAGACAGACGCUGCACUCAGAGACAAAAUGGCUUCCAGAUUAGAGGAGGAUUUCUGCUGUCCGGUCUGUCAUGAUGUCUUUAGAGAUCCUGUUCUUCUGUCAUGCAGCCACAGCUUCUGUAAAGACUGUCUGAAGAGCUGGUGGACAGAGAAACAAACACGUGAGUGUCGAGUUUGUAAAAGAAGAUCUUCGAGGGAAGAACCACCCUGUAAUCUGACUUUAAAGAACCUGUGUGAGAGUUUCUUACAGGAGAGAGAUCAGAGAUCUUCAGAGGCUCUCUGCAGUCUGCACUCUGAGAAACUCAAACUCUUCUGUCUGGACCAUCAGCAGCCAGUGUGUCACAUCUGCAGAGAUUCAGAAAAACACUCCAACCACAGAUUCAGACCCAUUGAUGAAGCUGCACGACAACACAAGAAGGAACUUCAGGAAACUCUGGAGCCCUUAAAGGAGCAGUUAAAGGUUUGUGAAGGAGUUAAAGUGAAGUUUGAUCAAACAGCAGAACACAUGAAGGUCCAGGCCCAACGCACAGAGAGGAAGAUUAAGGAGCAGUUUAAGAAGAUUCACCAGUUUCUAGAAGAGGAAGAGGAGGCCAGGCUGGCUGCACUGAGGGAGGAAGAGGAGCAGAAGAGUCAGAUGAUGAAGGAGAAGAUGGAGGCUCUGAGCAGAGAGAUAGCAGCUCUUUCAGACACAGUCAGAGCCACAGAGGAGGAGCUGAGAGAUGAAGACGUCUCAUUCCUGAACAACUACAAGGCUGCAGUGGAAAGAGUCCAGCAGCGCCCCCAGCUGGAGGAUUCACAGCUGCCCUCAGGAGCUCUGAUAGACGAGGCCAAACACCUGGGCAACCUGACCUUCAACAUCUGGAACAAGAUAAAGGACAUGGUCUCCUACAGUCCUGUGAUUCUGGAUCCAAACACUGCUCAUCCAAAACUCAUCCUGUCUGAAGAUCUGACCAGUGUGAGAGAAGGAGAGAAACAGCAGCUUCCUGAUAAUCCAGAGAGGUUUGAUCGGUACUGCUCUGUUCUGGGCUCUGAGGGCUUUAACUCAGGGACUCACAGCUGGGAUGUCGAGGUUGGAGACAGUACAUUGUGGUUACUGGGUGUGUCAGUAGAGUCUGUCAAGAGGAAGGGACGCAAACUGUCUGGAUUAUGGAUAAUAUGGUUGAAUAAAGGUAAAUACUCAGCAUGGUCACCAUCAGCUCCACCAACUGAUCUUGUAUUUCAGAAGAAGGUCCAGAGGAUCAGAGUGAAUCUGGACUGGAACAUAGGAAAGCUGUCGUUCUCUGAUCCUGAUACUAACACACACAUACACACCUUCACACACACUUUCACUGAGAGGAUGUUUCCAUUAAUUUACACUGGGGAUAAAGUCCCAGUGAAGAUAUUACCAGUGAAGGUCAGUGUGACAGUGGAACAGAGCAGUUAGAGAUAAAGAGGAUGAUUAUAUUCAUGAUGUUUAUUUCUUAAAGAGAAAAGUCUCUGAAUUGAACCUGUUAAACUGAAACCUGCUCCUCAUUAUUCCAGCACUGCAGGAACAGACACAUAUUAUUAAAUAUAAUCAAAUGUUCAGGUAUUAAGCAAAUUAUUAGGCAAUUGAGCUGAAUUCAAGAAUUUGUGCCCUAAUUAGCAAAACAAAUCUUACAAUAAGACACAAUUCCUUCAAACACAAUAAAAAUAGUGACUUUGUCUUAAAUGAAGGAACUAAUUAAAUAACAAAAUAAAAUAGAAAAAUACAAGAUAUAAAGAAAAGAAAAUAGAAUUAGGUUUUUAUUUUUCACAAUGUGUAAAGUAUUUGUAAAAAUAAAGUGAAAAUAAAACAUUUGUAACAAGUUAAUUCUGCAGUUGGUGAAACAAUCUCAUCAUAAAGUCCAUCAGUUGGUUGUUCUGGUUCUUUCUGUUUAAUCUUCCUCAGCAGAUUCACCUGCACAUCCUCCUCCUCCUCCUCUCAGUAUCUGAUAUAUUGAAUUUACAUCCUUUUUUUUAUCGGAUUUUUAGUGAAAAUGUUUAUUUGAUAAAGAGUUUAUUAUAAGUUAUAUUAAAUAAAUAUAUAUAUUUAUAUAAUAUAAGCUGCUGUAAGUGAGUGUGACAGUGAAAGCAGACACACAGGUGUGCAGUCAUAUGACGUGUCCAGGUGUCAUAUAACUGCACAUGCGCUGGUUAAAGGACUGGUUGGAGGUUGAGGGUACAAACUGAAUCAGAACAGCGUGAUUUAAAUAUUUUAAUCAAAGUGAAAACACACACACACACACACACACACACACACACACACACGUCGCGUGGCUCUGAGGCUGUAAUGGCGGCAGUGCUGCACGAGGACAAAAACACCCUCUCAUGCUUUAAUUUGAUUGGAGCUCGUGACUCGUUUCCCUCAUCAACAACCAACAGAGUAAACAGCUGAUGAGAAUCAACCCGAAGGAAAUAACCAGGAAGAGGGCUGCACCCUGCCUUCACAAUAAAAGCUUCACACAUACGACAACCACUGAUGGAAACACCAGAGACAGAAAUGUUUGUGCCUUUUUACAUCAUUUACUAUAUUCUACUAAUAAUUUAAUUAGAUUUUGUUCUCUUUCUUUACUCUCUGUGCCAAUUUGACCAAUAAAGGAAGAGCUUAUCUCUUACAUCUUAAUUAAAAUCAUGUAUUUAUUGUUUUUGUUGUUGUUAUUACUGGUUGUGAUGUUUUAUUGUUUUAUUUUAACGUAUAAUAUAAUCAAAUAUUCAGGUAUUGAGCAAAACAUCUGCCAAUUGAGCAAAAUUUAAGAAUUUGUAUGUUUAAGAUGAAUAAUUAGCAAUUAGAGCCCAACCGAUUUAUCAGCGGGACGAUAUUAGGCAUUUUCCAAACUAUCGGUAUCUGCAUUUAUAAUGGCCGAUAAAUUUAUAUUUUAAAAAAUAAAAUAAAAACGGACGAAACACCCUUCAACCAUGUUAUGAGUGUUGGUGUUGCAUAGUUUGUCCACCAGAGGGCACAACAUCCCUGUUGGCAACACUCGUGUUUAGAACGCAACAAACCUUACAACCUGCUGAUCCAGCCAGAGUUGGGCAGAGCGAACGAGUUAUCCAUGACUGAGAUCAUCGGUGAAGUGUGUUCAUGGUAUGUUGGCAACUGUCACGAGACAUACAUUGCUUGAAUAACAAUUAAAAGAACAUCCCCAUCACUUCUCUAAACUCAAUAAGCAUGACAAAAUUCAUGACUACCAUGUCCAGUUUUGCUGCUGUUAUGUGUAAGCCGAGAGUGAAACGGAUUUAGCUAGUACGUUAGUUAGUUGCAAUUACAGAGAAGACAGAGUAUUGAACCUAGCACAAUGCUGUAUUUAACUUUAUCCACCGACAACUGUAACUCACACUGUACAUUUACUGCUAGACCUGAUAACUUACUUCUCUGCUCUGCUGCCGUUCACCGCCGCGCUCGCUUAUGCGCUCUCUCUCUCUCCCGCUCUAUUCCUCCUUAUAACAUUCAUUAGUCAAAAUGACUUUGCCAAGAAAGAGACUAAACUUAGCAAACUAAACAGUGAGUAAACCUACUUCAUGUAAAAUGCUGCUUCAGACACUUUUGCUGAUGCACAGAUGUGAAAAUGUAUGUAAAUUUAAAAUAAUUUCUAGAUCUUCACUUGUUUUAAUUAUUAUUUUAGUGAGGACUCAUAAAUAACUACAAAUAAUUAAUGUUAGGGAAAUCUGUUUAUGUUUUGUUACGCGUUUCUGGAAUUUCUUUUUUUAAAUAUAUAUCGGCCGAUAUAUAAUAUAUAAUGUGUUUUAUUAAAACAAUGAAAAACUAAACAGCUGCUUCAUUUCCAACACUGGGACAACAAUAAAAACCUAAUUCUAUUUUAUUUUCUUUAUAUCUUGUAUAUUUCUAUUUUAUUGUGUCAUUUAAUCUUAUUUCUUUUUUCUCAUCUGAUAUUUUCUAUCUGGUUUAUUAUUCUGAUUGUUUUUGUUUUCUUUUGGUUAUUUAGUCAGUCAGAGGACAAGUUCUUCUAUUUAAGGUGGACGUCUCAUGUUUAAGGUGGAACGUCUCAGUUUGGGUUCAGACUGUAUGUAAUGUAGCUGAUUUCAGAAUAUUAAUUAACAUUAAUGCUGAAUGUACAUAACAGUCACGUUAUUCUUUUCCUAUCAUAUUAAACAGUAAUGUUACCUACAAAGAGACUUGAACAAAGCAAACAUAAAAAAUUGGUAAAAUGCCAGAUUUUGUUGUCCACCCCUAAUCCCAGAAUACAGCAUGAUGCUUGUAAACUUUGUUAUAAUCCCAUGAACUGUUGUCGUGCUCCAACACCUGAGAGCUCUGGUUCAAAAUGAUCGUGUUGUUUGUAGUCGAGUUGGGCCUCUUUCAGGGGGGUCUUGCUCCGGUGUAGGAGGGUAUGGAGGCCCUUCAUAAUCCACCUACACUGCUGACAAUAUAUUAAAUAUCUGUGCCACAAACUGGACUGUGAUUGGCUGAAGCUCUGCUACGUGGUUGUGCAACUCAUGAAGGUGGUUCCUUACAGACUAAGAGAUGUCAUUCAUUGAUCCUGAUGGCUCCAUAUCGAGGCAAAUAUUGGAAAAUAUGAAAGUGUAAUUAAACCGCUUCCUGCUGAAAA